ACACACUAACCAGAUCUUGCGCUAGAUUUCCACCGACAUACCUUUCUGCGGAAGUAUGGAGUGAAAUGAUAGAAAUUUGGUUAAAAGAAGAUUGGAAAAAAAGAUCCGAAAAAGCAUCAGAAAAUAGGAAAAACAAUCCAGAUUACAUGCCAUACACGGGUGGAUCUUGUUCAGUUGCGGCCACUCAUGAAAGAAUGGUAAAAAAACAUUUCUUUCAUAUAUUUUACAUUUAUCAUUCUAAUUUUUUUGUGUAUAACAAUCAGAAUGAAGAAGCUGGUUAUGAAGUCGGUCACUGUGAGGUUUAUAAAAAAACACAUAGUUUGGCUAAGACAAACGACUGGGCUCAUCCAAAG
This 353-nucleotide long non-coding RNA is filed under the name Zostera marina. RNAcentral describes it as "long non-coding RNA (ZMAR_LNC003202)". The record is from RNAcentral. Lineage: Eukaryota; Viridiplantae; Streptophyta; Magnoliopsida; Alismatales; Zosteraceae.